RNAcentral lists this ribosomal RNA (540 nucleotides) under uncultured bacterium. RNAcentral describes it as "bacterial SSU rRNA". It matches the Rfam family "Bacterial small subunit ribosomal RNA", at positions 777 to 1331 of the family's 1533-position model. The record is from RNAcentral.
AAUAGAUACCCCGGUAGUCCACGCCGUAAACGAUGGAUACUAGCUGUUGGAGGUAUCGACCCCUUCAGUAGCGAAGCUAACGCGUUAAGUAUCCCGCCUGUGGAGUACGGUCGCAAGACUAAAACAUAAAGGAAUUGACGGGGGACCCGCACAAGCGGUGGAUCGUGUUCUUUAAUUCGAUGCUAAACGAAGAACCUUACCAGGGUUUGACAUCCCUUGAAUUAAUCCGAAAGGAUUGAGUGCUUUAUUGAACAAGGUGACAGGUGAUGCAUGGCCGUCGUCAGCUCGUGUCGUGAGAUGUUUGGUUAAGUCCAUCAACGAGCGCAACCCUUGCAAGUUAGUUGUAUUUUCUACUUGGACUGCCCCGGUAACGGGGAGGAAGGAGGGGAUGAUGUCAGGUCAGUAUUCCCUUACAUCCUGAGCUAGAAACACGAUACAAUGGCUAGUACAAUGCGCAGCGAAGCCGCGAGGUGAAGCAAAUCGCAUCAAAGCUAGUCCCAGUUCGGAUUGGAGGCUGAAACUCGCCUCAUGAAGUCGGAA